Molecule: ribosomal RNA, 617 nt
Filed under: uncultured bacterium
Lineage: Bacteria
Description: bacterial SSU rRNA
Rfam family: Bacterial small subunit ribosomal RNA (bases 1-524)
Source: RNAcentral
CCUACGGGAGGCAGCAGUGGGGAAUAUUGCACAAUGGGCGAAAGCCUGAUGCAGCGACGCCGCGUGAGGGAUGACGGCCUUCGGGUUGUAAACCUCUUUCAGCAGGGAAGAAGCGAAAGUGACGGUACCUGCAGAAGAAGCGCCGGCUAACUACGUGCCAGCAGCCGCGGUAAUACGUAGGGCGCAAGCGUUGUCCGGAAUUAUUGGGCGUAAAGAGCUCGUAGGCGGCUUGUCACGUCGGGUGUGAAAGCCCGGGGCUUAACCCCGGGUCUGCAUUCGAUACGGGCUAGCUAGAGUGUGGUAGGGGAGAUCGGAAUUCCUGGUGUAGCGGUGAAAUGCGCAGAUAUCAGGAGGAACACCGGUGGCGAAGGCGGAUCUCUGGGCCAUUACUGACGCUGAGGAGCGAAAGCGUGGGGAGCGAACAGGAUUAGAUACCCUGGUAGUCCACGCCGUAAACGGUGGGAACUAGGUGUUGGCGACAUUCCACGUCGUCGGUGCCGCNGCUACGCAUAACGUUACCCGUCCCGUCGGGUAGGUACGGCCGCGAGGACGUAAACGUUAAAGGUAAAGUUAGUAACGGUCGUGAGACGUGCGAAGGACGACGACGAGGGAGGAGG